This 64-nucleotide transfer RNA is filed under the name Ornithodoros moubata. RNAcentral describes it as "tRNA-Ala". The record is from RNAcentral. Lineage: Eukaryota; Metazoa; Arthropoda; Arachnida; Ixodida; Argasidae.
UAGAAUAGUAUUUAAAAUCCAUAAAAUCUAACUUGCACUUAGAAAUUGCUAAAGCCUAUUCUAA